Molecule: ribosomal RNA, 328 nt
Filed under: uncultured eukaryote
Lineage: Eukaryota
Description: partial 18S ribosomal RNA
Rfam family: Eukaryotic small subunit ribosomal RNA
Source: RNAcentral
CCCUUAGAUGUCCUGGGCCGCACGCGCGUUACACUGAUGCAUUCAACGAGUUUAUAACCUUGGCCGAGAGGCCUGGGCAAUCUUGUUAACGUGCAUCGUGAUAGGGAUAGAUUAUUGAAAUUAUUAAUCUUGAACGAGGAAUUCCUAGUAAACGCAGAUCAUCAAUCUGCAUUGAUUACGUCCCUGCCCUUUGUACACACCGCCCGUCGCACCUACCGAUUGGAUGGUCCGGUGAAGCCUCGGGAUUGUGGUUCUUGCCGCUUUAUUGUGGCGUGACCGCGAGAACUUGUCUAAACCUUAUCAUCUAGAGGAAGGUGAAGUCGUAACA